CGUAAAGUUGGGGGUGGACAGUGGACACUGGACAGUCGAGAGCCCAGGCAUGGCGUGAUGGCAGCGGCCGCCGGUCCGGUCGGCACUCGGCACACGCACAUAGAAGCAAGGUGCAGCUCGGCGGCCGGCGGCCGGCAUCCAAUACGCGGCCAAGACUGGUCGACUUUAAAGCCGGGCCCCACUCCAAUCUCUAGCAAGGCAGCAACAGAAGGCGUGAAAAUUGACAAGCUCCGCCACGGACUUCUCCAAGACAAUGCUGCAACCGUCCACAAACUUUCUUCAGUCUCGCUCUCUCACUCAGCAAGGAUUCACAUAGGAGGUCCCAUACCAUGCUGAAGUGGCUGUAGUGGAAGAUGUCAAUGUCGCUAAUGGUGUAUGCUUGAUCUUGUAUUCCUUUUGGUUGUCCGAGAUU
This is a long non-coding RNA of Panicum virgatum (switchgrass), 412 nucleotides long. RefSeq lists it as uncharacterized. NCBI's taxonomy places the organism in Eukaryota, Viridiplantae, Streptophyta, Magnoliopsida, Poales, Poaceae. The record is from RefSeq and is a predicted model, not a curated record. The transcript has 3 exons.